CACAUCACCGAUAUAUCUCUUCCACAAUACCAGGUCCAAAUGGAUUGUUGUGCCAUAUCUGUUCUGCUUCCCAUUCGGCUACGAAAAGGUUUGUGUAACUCGUAGCGAACCUGGUACCCAUGGCUGUCCCACAUAGUUGAGGAAUGAUCAUUGCUUCCUGUAUGUAAUAUGUGCGGCUGAGGAUAACCGUAGCUCCCCCUUUAUCUGCCGGCUUCACUACAAAAUCAUGUUUCUUCUUAAGAUCCUUAAGUGAUUUUUGUUCUGCUAUGCAGGACAAUAGGACCGGAUGCAACGCGUCCACUAAGAAAGGACUACAUCUCUGCAACAAGAGACAGCCCUGCGGAGAAGGAGAAGCCGGUAUCUACAAAAGAAUGUGGCGUUUCUAUGGAGACACGUAUAAACAGAAUGACGCCAGUCUAGAGCACAUAUCCAGCCUCCAAUACGUCCUCACAUAUUGUGGAACAAUGUAACAAUGCUAUCUAGUGUACAUGUGGAGACGUACUGCAAGUCCUCUGUGUGUUCUGGGAAAUAACGUUAUACUGCCAUCUAGCGUAU
Spea bombifrons (plains spadefoot toad) is the source of this 555-nucleotide long non-coding RNA. RefSeq lists it as uncharacterized. NCBI's taxonomy places the organism in Eukaryota, Metazoa, Chordata, Amphibia, Anura, Pelobatidae. The transcript is spliced from 3 exons. The record is from RefSeq and is a predicted model, not a curated record.